GAUGGCGACCGGCGCACGGGUGAGUAACACGUAUCCAACCUGCCGAUAACUCCGGGAUAGCCUUUCGAAAGAAAGAUUAAUACCGGAUGGCAUACGAAUAUCGCAUGAUAUUUUUAUUAAAGAAUUUCGGUUAUCGAUGGGGAUGCGUUCCAUUAGUUUGUUGGCGGGGUAACGGCCCACCAAGACUACGAUGGAUAGGGGUUCUGAGAGGAAGGUCCCCCACAUUGGAACUGAGACACGGUCCAAACUCCUACGGGAGGCAGCAGUGAGGAAUAUUGGUCAAUGGGCGAGAGCCUGAACCAGCCAAGUAGCGUGAAGGAUGAAGGCUCUAUGGGUCGUAAACUUCUUUUAUAUGGGAAUAAAGUUUUCCACGUGUGGAAUUUUGUAUGUACCAUAUGAAUAAGGAUCGGCUAACUCCGUGCCAGCAGCCGCGGUAAUACGGAGGAUCCGAGCGUUAUCCGGAUUUAUUGGGUUUAAAGGGAGCGUAGGUGGAUUGUUAAGUCAGUUGUGAAAGUUUGCGGCUCAACCGUAAAAUUGCAGUUGAAACUGGCAGUCUUGAGUACAGUAGAGGUGGGCGGAAUUCGUGGUGUAGCGGUGAAAUGCUUAGAUAUCACGAAGAACUCCGAUU
This 628-nucleotide ribosomal RNA is filed under the name uncultured Bacteroidales bacterium. RNAcentral's name for it is "bacterial SSU rRNA". It matches the Rfam family "Bacterial small subunit ribosomal RNA", at positions 87 to 714 of the family's 1533-position model. The record is from RNAcentral. Lineage: Bacteria; Pseudomonadati; Bacteroidota; Bacteroidia; Bacteroidales.